CUAACUCAAGGGGGGAAAUUGAAACCAGUGCAUUUUAGUUUUUCUGAGUUAUGAGCAGAAAUGCUCAACACUGAACGUUGGGCUAUAUAUCAAAUUGAAGCUAUUGAAAAACUCUAUUUGGUGUAGAAAUUUCAAGACUUUAGGUAAAAGGGAAAUAUUGAAAAACUACAAACAUAAUUACCGAUAAUUUGCCGUUUUGCAGUUGUUUUUGUAUUUUUUAAAGAUUUUUCUUUUCGCU
Molecule: non-coding RNA, 238 nt
Organism: Paramuricea clavata
Lineage: Eukaryota; Metazoa; Cnidaria; Anthozoa; Malacalcyonacea; Plexauridae
Source: the annotation of a GenBank genome assembly